RNAcentral lists this ribosomal RNA (253 nucleotides) under uncultured bacterium. RNAcentral describes it as "partial 16S ribosomal RNA". It matches the Rfam family "Bacterial small subunit ribosomal RNA", at positions 524 to 776 of the family's 1533-position model. The record is from RNAcentral.
UACGGAGGGGGCGAGUGUUGUUCGGAAUUACUGGGCGUAAAGAGUGUGUAGGCGGUGCUCUAAGUUCGGUGUGAAAUCUCCUGGCUUAACUGGGAGGGUGCGCCGGAAACUGGAGUGCUUGAGCGUGGGAGAGGAAAGCGGAAUUCCUGGUGUAGCGGUGAAAUGCGUAGAUAUCAGGAGGAACACCUGUGGUGUAGACGGCUUUCUGGACCAUUGCUGACGCUGAGACACGAAAGCGUGGGUAGCAAACAGG